UGGCAUCUUCAGUAUGACCUGCUUCCCCAGU
Molecule: non-coding RNA, 31 nt
Filed under: Mus musculus (house mouse)
Lineage: Eukaryota; Metazoa; Chordata; Mammalia; Rodentia; Muridae
Source: RNAcentral